UUCGUCGUCAAGCCGAAUUUCGAACCGGCCCACAAUUUUAUUGCUAUAAUAAAUAUAGCUACAUCUAUAAUAGCUAUCUACGUAAUAUUGGUAUAUGAAUAUUGUUGGUUUUGUAAAAAAAAUGGUUUAUAGAUAAAAUUAUAGUGAAUAAAAUAUUGUUAUAGUGGGGUUUUGAAGUUAUCUAAUCAGUAGGGUAGACUGGGUACGGUAGUACCAGGGGGGCGGUAGUACCAAAGCAAAUAUCUCGUGAAUAGUUGAGCACAGCCCUAUGCGUUCAAGGAGUGAUAGUAGCCGCAUACAAGUUGAAGUAUGUAAGUUGUAAGUUGAGUCACACAAAGCCAGUUACACGCGUGUAGGACGUGUUUUUGAUUUUUUGAGAUCAAAAGUAAAUAUUUGAUGAUGAAUUGUUUUUAGUUUUUAAAUCUUGUCUUGCGUGUUAUAUUAUUCAUGUGUGUUUAUUGAAAAUAAAUGGUUUUUGAAGAAUAAAGAUGCCACGAGUACGUAUUCACAAAACAGGAAAAGGCCAACAUGAUGAUAGCGCUUAUAUCAAUGCCUAUGAGUGUAUAUUGAGUGUAAGAACUGGGCUCAUGAGCAAUGCACUGACGGAGAACCCAGCUACGUAUGCAAUAAUUGUGAUUCCAACUAAUUUUAUUGUUGCACACAUAGCAGGACAUUUAAGUAUAAUUUUAAAAGUGUUUUCUUUAUUGUAAUAAAUACGUUUAUUGUCAUAAAUAA
Dalotia coriaria is the source of this 735-nucleotide long non-coding RNA. RefSeq lists it as uncharacterized. The record is from RefSeq and is a predicted model, not a curated record. NCBI's taxonomy places the organism in Eukaryota, Metazoa, Arthropoda, Insecta, Coleoptera, Staphylinidae. The transcript has 2 exons.